GUUCAAAGGGAUCGGUACCAGAUCUUCAAUUGGAAUGCCCCUCUCUUCAGUGAGGUCGUCGCGAGCAUCCAGUCCAUCGACUGGACAGGGGUCAGAUUGGUCGCUUCUUUGCAAGGCUAGGUUGUAGCAGUGUCUGACCAGGGCUUGGUCUCCUUGGACCUCUUCGAUCCCCUGGUUGGUGAAAAAUUUCAACUUCAAAUGGUAGGUUGAUACGAUGGCUCGGAGAGCGUUGAGGCCAGAUCGGUCGAGGAUUGCGUUGUAGGCUGACGGCACCUUCACCACCAGGAAAUUCACCAGAGCCCUGGAUUGCCUUGGAUAUCGACCUGCGGCCACAGUCAAAGUUAUUAUUCCCUCCACCGGAACAGCGUCGCCGGUAAACCCUACCAGAGGGGAGCUAAUCGGCCUCAAAUGGCC
This 414-nucleotide long non-coding RNA is filed under the name Elaeis guineensis (African oil palm). Its description in RNAcentral is "long non-coding RNA (EGUI_LNC032074)". The record is from RNAcentral. Lineage: Eukaryota; Viridiplantae; Streptophyta; Magnoliopsida; Arecales; Arecaceae.